GAUGAACGCUGGCGGCGUGCCUAAUACAUGCAAGUCGUACGGAAAGGCCCUUCGGGGUACUCGAGUGGCGGACGGCUGAGUAACGCGUGGGAACGUGCCCCAAAGUGAGGGAUAACGCACCGAAAGGUGUGCUAAUACCGCAUAUGGUCUUCGGAUUAAAGCUUCGGCGCUUUGGGAGCGGCCCGCGUACGAUUAGAUAGUUGGUGAGGUAAUGGCUAACCAAGUCGACGAUCGUUAGCUGGUCUGAGAGGAUGAUCAGCCAGACUGGGACUGAGACACGGCCCAGACUCCUACGGGAGGCAGCAGUAAGGAAUCUUCCACAAUGGGGGCAACCCUGAUGGAGCAACGCCGCGUGCAGGAUGAAGGUUUUCGGAUCGUAAACUGCUUUUAUAAGUGAAGAAUAUGACGGUAACUUAUGAAUAAGGAUCGGCUAACUACGUGCCAGCCGCCGCGGUAA
This 457-nucleotide ribosomal RNA is filed under the name uncultured bacterium. Its description in RNAcentral is "partial 16S ribosomal RNA". It matches the Rfam family "Bacterial small subunit ribosomal RNA", at positions 28 to 523 of the family's 1533-position model. The record is from RNAcentral.